ACACUGUUCAUGUGGGCAGCAGCACAUGAGAAAUCAAAGUCUUUGGGUUCCGGGGGGAGUAUGGUCGCAAGGCUGAAACUUAAAGGAAUUGACGGAAGGGCACCACCAGGAGUGGAGCCUGCGGCUUAAUUUGACUCAACACGGGAAAACUUACCAGGUCCAGACAUAGGAAGGAUUGACAGAUUGAGAG
This 190-nucleotide ribosomal RNA is filed under the name Thraustochytriidae sp. RNAcentral describes it as "Thraustochytriaceae sp. partial small subunit ribosomal RNA". It matches the Rfam family "Eukaryotic small subunit ribosomal RNA", at positions 1065 to 1254 of the family's 1831-position model. Lineage: Eukaryota; Bigyra; Thraustochytrida; Thraustochytriidae. The record is from RNAcentral.